Molecule: ribosomal RNA, 403 nt
Filed under: uncultured bacterium
Lineage: Bacteria
Description: bacterial SSU rRNA
Rfam family: Bacterial small subunit ribosomal RNA
Source: RNAcentral
UAGGGAAUAUUAGUAAUGGGCGAAAGCCUGAACUAGCAACGCCGCGUGUGCGAAGAAGGCCUUCGGGUUGUAAAGCACUUUUUGAGAGGAUGAGGAAGGACGGUACUCCCAGAAUAAGUCUCGGCUAACUACGUGCCAGCAGCCGCGGUAACACGUAGGAGGCGAACGUUAUCCGGAUUUACUGGGCGUAAAGCGCGUGUAGGUGGUUUGGUAAGUAGGGCGUGAAAGCUCCUGGCUCAACUGGGAGAGGCCGUUCUAAACUGCCGAACUAGAGGAUGGUAGAGGGAGGUGGAAUUCCGGGUGUAGCGGUGGAAUGCGCAGAUAUCCGGAGGAACACCAGUGGCGGAAGCGGCCUCCUGGACGAUUCCUGACACUCAGACGCGAAAGCUAGGGUAGCAAACGG